This 1032-nucleotide long non-coding RNA is filed under the name Felis catus (domestic cat). RNAcentral describes it as "lncRNA (ENSFCAG00000041226.2)". The record is from RNAcentral. Lineage: Eukaryota; Metazoa; Chordata; Mammalia; Carnivora; Felidae.
UUUGCUGCUUUCACCUGAUGGUCAGUUUAGUGGAACCUGGCAAAUUCAGCAAGAAGACAAGGAAAUUCAAUUUAAUUUAAAUUACCACAUUUGGUGGAUUAGGAACGAUGUGAGAAACAGGAAAAAUCAGGGCAAUGUGUCAUUCAGUGUUGAUUUAUUUUGACCAGGAAUGUUUAAUUUCAAUUAUUCAUUGUAGACUUUUGUAGGAAGCCGGCUAAUGUGUUCCAGGAAGCUGUGUUAAGGGAACACAUGAAGCAAACGGCAGCUUGUGAGCUCACAGUCCUCUGCACAAAACCCUUCCCUGAGGGAAAGCAGAGUCACUUUGCAGUCAGGCCACAGUUUAGUUUCCACAGACUGAUGCCACCUAGUGGCGACACCAAAGCCUGGACAAGGAUAUCACCUUUCCACCUUUCACCUUUCACCUUUCACCCAGCAAGGUGGGGUUUAAGUCUCAAUAAAACUCAAAAAUUCCCCAAACAGCGUUUCUGUCUUUCAGGUUAUAAUAUGCAUUACCAUGUAUUAUUCUUAUUUUUAUCUCCAAUGUGUUUGCAUAUCUUUAGAAAGAAGUAAGUUCCCUUCCUUACGAGGCUGUUCCAUUUUUUUCUCGACAGAGAAAACAAAACAGAAAAAUUCUUUUUUUUUUUUUUUUUUAAAUUUUUUUUUCAACAUUUAUUUAUUUUUUUGGGACAGAGAGAGACAGAGCAUGAACGGGGGAGGGGCAGAGAGAGAGGGAGACACAGAAUCGGAAACAGGCCCCAGGCUCUGAGCUGUCAGCCCAGAGCCUGACGCGGGGCCCGAACUCACGGACCACGAGAUCGUGACCUGGCUGAAGUCGGACGCUUAACCGACUGCGCCACCCAGGCGCCCCAAAACAGAAAAAUUCUUAUUGUGUAAAUCCGAAGAGCUAGAUUGCACCGUGUCACUUUCAAAACAGCCCUGAAAGGUACAUGUUCCUCUCCCUAUUUUGUGGCUGAAGAGAUGGGAAGUGUCCUUAGAAGUGUCUCAGUCAAUGUCACAUAACCAUCCCCCCCA